AUGGAUUGGAAUCCUCAAGUGCUAUGUUGGAACGUGCGGGGGCUUAACAACAUGUCCAAAAGGAAUGCCGUGAGGAAUUUCAUUAGUGAAGCUAAAGUUAAUUCGGUGUGUCUCCAAGAGAUAAAACUCAAUGUAAUAGAUACUUAUGUGGUUAUGCAAUGCAUAGGGCCAUCCUUUGAUGGUUUUGCUUACUUGCCGGCUACGUAUACUAGAGGUGGGAUUCUAGUGGGUUGGGAUACGUCCAUUUUGGUGACGGAUAACAUCAGUAUGGAUAACUUUUCCCUCAUGGGACAUGUACAUAAUAAGGAUGGGUGGGAAUGGUGGCUUACGUUGGUUUACGGCCUCCAAAGGUGA
This 354-nucleotide ribosomal RNA is filed under the name Triticum aestivum (bread wheat). Its description in RNAcentral is "partial small subunit ribosomal RNA". The record is from RNAcentral. Lineage: Eukaryota; Viridiplantae; Streptophyta; Magnoliopsida; Poales; Poaceae.